This 1147-nucleotide long non-coding RNA is filed under the name Homo sapiens (human). RNAcentral describes it as "HSALNT0025448". Lineage: Eukaryota; Metazoa; Chordata; Mammalia; Primates; Hominidae. The record is from RNAcentral.
GCCCAAUGAGUAAAACAGGAAAACAGACAUGAAAUUAAGAAAAUGAGAAACCCUGACAAAUUCUCAAAUGUAAAAAAAAAAAAUUAAGAAGCUCAACACAUUUCAAAUAGGAUAAACACAAACAGACACAUAACAAGAUACAUUAUAAGCAGUUUCAAAAAAUUACAGAUGAGAAGAGAAUCUCAAAAACAGAAAGGGAAAAGCAAUGUGUCAUCUAUAAGCAUGCUUCUAUGAGAUUACCAGAGCAUAGUUGUUUCAUAUACCAUCAUUCUAGUACUAUAGAAUUUUAUUUUUGUGUAUGUGAUCACGGGGCACACAGAGAAAAUAGGAAACCUGCCCUACUUGAAGAAACAAAUCUCCAGAAACUGACCCUUAAAAAAGGGAGAUUUUUGCAUUUUUUUGACAAAGAAUUUAAAGUAAUCAUCUUAAACAUGUUCAAUGACCAAAAGUAGAACACAUAUAGAUAACUCUACAAAAUCAGGUUGGGCAUGGUGACAAGAGCAUUAUGGUUUACAUAAAGUAAAAUACUCUCCUUGUUGUUCAUUUAAAAAUAAAUCCUGGCUAUGUACAGAAGCUCACACCUGGAAUUCCAGCAUUUUGGAAGGCUGAGGUGGGAGAACUGCUUGAGACCGAGUUCAAGACCAGCUUGAGUAACACGGUGCUCAACAUCACCGGUCAUCAAACAACUGCAACUCGAAACCACGAUGAGACAUCACCUCACACCUGUUUGGAUGGCAAAUAUCAAAAAGAAGAGAGAUGUGUAUUAUUCAAGGGAUGGACAAAAGCCCUGACUUCACUACUGCAUAAUCUCUCCACUUAAGAAAAUUAAUUUAUACCCUAAAUUCAUACAAAUAAAAAAAUCUACAAAAGAGAUAAUGUGGCAUAUACAUAAGAUUGAUAUUAUCAGCCUUAAAGGAGAUAUUGUCACAUUGUAUGAUAAGGAUAAAGCUUGAGAAUAUUAUGUUAACUGAAAUAAGCCAGUACAAGUAUUGACACAGGUGUGAAGAAAACUAAAUUCCAUAUGUUGUUGCUGUGUUGUAAACUGAUAGAGCCAUUAGCAAAACCAGUAUGGAGGUUCUUAAUUGAAAAAUGAAAAAGUAAAACUACCAUAUAAUUCAUCAAUCCCACUUCUGUGUAAAUAACCAAA